This 263-nucleotide ribosomal RNA is filed under the name uncultured bacterium. RNAcentral describes it as "partial 16S ribosomal RNA". It matches the Rfam family "Bacterial small subunit ribosomal RNA", at positions 793 to 1055 of the family's 1533-position model. The record is from RNAcentral.
GUCCACGCCCUAAACGAUGAUCACUGGGUGUUCGGGGAGCGAUCUCUGAGUACCGAAGCUAACGCGUGAAGUGAUCCGCCUGGGGAGUACGGUCGCAAGAUUAAACUCAAAGGAAUUGACGGGGACCCGCACAAGCGGUGGAUGAUGUGGAUUAAUUCGAUGCAACGCGAACAACCUUACCUACCCUUGACAUGUCCGGAAGGCCGCCGAGAGGUGGUUGUGCCCGAAAGGGAACCGGAACACAGGUGCUGCAUGGCUGUCGU